GACGAACGCUGGCGGCGUGCCUAAUACAUGCAAGUCGAGCGAAGAUUUUCUGGUGCUUGCACUAGAAAAACUUAGCGGCGAACGGGUGAGAAACACGUAAAGAACCUGCCUCAUAGACUGGGACAACUAUUGGAAACGAUAGCUAAUACCAGAUAACAGCAUUACAUGCAUGGUUGAUGUUUAAAAGUUGGUUUUGCUAACACUAUGAGAUGGCUUUGCGUUGCAUUAGCUAGUUGGUGAGGUAAAGGCCUACCACGGCGACGAUGCAUAGCCGACCUGGGAGGGGGAUCGGCCACACUGGGACUGGGCCACGGCCCAGACUCCUACGGGAGGCAGCAGUAGGGAAUCUUCCGCAAGGGGCGAAAGCCUGACGGAGCAACGCCGCGUGAGUGAAAAAGGAUUUCGGUUCGUAAAGCCCGGUUGUUAGGGAAAAAUGAUUUUGGAGUGACAAUACACAGUAGUGACGGUACCUAACCAGAAAGCCACGGCUAACUACGUG
This 499-nucleotide ribosomal RNA is filed under the name uncultured bacterium. RNAcentral describes it as "partial 16S ribosomal RNA". It matches the Rfam family "Bacterial small subunit ribosomal RNA", at positions 28 to 507 of the family's 1533-position model. The record is from RNAcentral.